RNAcentral lists this ribosomal RNA (460 nucleotides) under uncultured bacterium. RNAcentral describes it as "partial 16S ribosomal RNA". It matches the Rfam family "Bacterial small subunit ribosomal RNA", at positions 338 to 795 of the family's 1533-position model. The record is from RNAcentral.
CCUACGGGUGGCAGCAGUGAGGAAUAUUGGUCAAUGGACGCGAGUCUGAACCAGCCAUGUAGCGUGAAGGAUGACUGCCCUCUGGGUUGUAAACUUCUUUUAUAUGGGAAUAAAAUGUUCCACGUGUGGGAUUUUGUAUGUACCAUAUGCAUAAGGAUCGGCUAACUCCGUGCCAGCAGCCGCGGUAAUACGGAGGAUCCGAGCGUUGUCCGGAUUUAUUGGGUUUAAAGGGAGCGUAGGUGGAUUGUUAAGUCAGUUGUGAAAGUUUGCGGCUCAACCGUAAAAUUGCAGUUGAAACUGGCAGUCGUGAGUACAGUAGAGGUGGGUGGAAUUCGUGGUGUAGCGGUGAAAUGCUUAGAGAUCACGAAGAACUCCGAUUGCGAAGGCAGCCCACUGGACUGCAACUGACACUGAGGCGCGAAAGUGUGGGUAUCAAACAGGAUUAGAUACCCCGGUAGUC